Long non-coding RNA from Mauremys reevesii (Reeves's turtle), 172 nucleotides. RefSeq lists it as uncharacterized. The transcript is spliced from 3 exons. NCBI's taxonomy places the organism in Eukaryota, Metazoa, Chordata, Testudines, Geoemydidae. The record is from RefSeq and is a predicted model, not a curated record.
CUUAUGUGAAAGCAACAGAAAUCAACAAGAACUUUGCAAGAGAUUGAAAGUCUGCUGAGGAGGUCAAAGGGGACAGCUCAGAUUGCAGCAGCAGAGCUGUAUGUGCUCUGAAAGAACAGAGCAGCAAUGAGACUUGUGUGGCAACCCUAACAGUGGCUGGGAAGCUGGAGAC